ACACAUGCAGUCGAGCGGCAGCACGGGUACUUGUACCUGGUGGCGAGCGGCGGACGGGUGAGUAAUGCCUAGGAAUCUGCCUAGUAGUGGGGGAUAACGUCCGGAAACGGGCGCUAAUACCGCAUACGUCCUACGGGAGAAAGUGGGGGAUCUUCGGACCUCACGCUAUUAGAUGAGCCUAGGUCGGAUUAGCUAGUUGGUGAGGUAAUGGCUCACCAAGGCGACGAUCCGCAACUGGUCUGAGAGGAUGAUCAGUCACACUGGAACUGAGACACGGUCCAGACUCCUACGGGAGGCAGCAGUGGGGAAUAUUGGACAAUGGGCGAAAGCCUGAUCCAGCCAUGCCGCGUGUGUGAAGAAGGUCUUCGGAUUGUAAAGCACUUUAAGUUGGGAGGAAGGGCAGUUACCUAAUACGUGAUUGUUUUGACGUUACCGACAGAAUAAGCACCGGCUAACUCUGUGCCAGCAGCCGCGGUAAUACAGAGGGUGCAAGCGUUAAUCGGAAUUACUGGGCGUAAAGCGCGCGUAGGUGGUUUGUUAAGUUGGAUGUGAAAGCCCCGGGCUCAACCUGGGAACUGCAUCCAAAACUGGCAAGCUAGAGUAUGGUAGAGGGUGGUGGAAUUUCCUGUGUAGCGGUGAAAUGCGUAGAUAUAGGAAGGAACACCAGUGGCGAAAGCGACCACCUGGACUGAUACUGACACUG
RNAcentral lists this ribosomal RNA (703 nucleotides) under uncultured bacterium. RNAcentral's name for it is "bacterial SSU rRNA". It matches the Rfam family "Bacterial small subunit ribosomal RNA", at positions 51 to 748 of the family's 1533-position model. The record is from RNAcentral.